Molecule: long non-coding RNA, 279 nt
Organism: Pleuronectes platessa (European plaice)
Lineage: Eukaryota; Metazoa; Chordata; Actinopteri; Pleuronectiformes; Pleuronectidae
Exons: 3
Source: RefSeq, a predicted model, not a curated record
GCAUCACCACAGUGGUUCACCAGAAAGAACAGGUCGACGAUGAGGUUCCAGUGUCAGUGAGCAGAGUCUCAACAUGGUUCUUCUGCAGAGGAAGCUGUGACUGGAUGAAGAUGAGCAGCAGCAGCAGCAGCAGCAAGAGAGAGAGGGAGCAGAAGAGGAAGCUGCAGCACUUCCUGGGUGACCUGGCUCUGCUCGGAUCUUUACAGGGUUUUAAAUAUUUCCAGCCGUGGCUCAGAGGGAAGGAGGAGCUGCUGCUGACAGUCGUCAACGAGGACCUGG